RNAcentral lists this ribosomal RNA (497 nucleotides) under uncultured bacterium. RNAcentral's name for it is "partial 16S ribosomal RNA". It matches the Rfam family "Bacterial small subunit ribosomal RNA", at positions 28 to 507 of the family's 1533-position model. The record is from RNAcentral.
GAUGAACGCUGGCGGCGUGCCUAAUACAUGCAAGUCGAGCGAACAGACGAGGAGCUUGCUCCUCUGACGUUAGCGGCGGACGGGUGAGUAACACGUGGCUAACCUACCUAUAAGACUGGGAUAACUUCGGGAAACCGGAGCUAAUACCGGAUAAUAUAUUGAACCGCAUGGUUCAAUAGUGAAAGACGGUUUUGCUGUCACUUAUAGAUGGAUCCGCGCCGCAUUAGCUAGUUGGUAAGGUAACGGCUUACCAAGGCAACGAUGCGUAGCCGACCUGAGAGGGUGAUCGGCCACACUGGAACUGAGACACGGUCCAGACUCCUACGGGAGGCAGCAGUAGGGAAUCUUCCGCAAUGGGCGAAAGCCUGACGGAGCAACGCCGCGUGAGUGAUGAAGGUCUUCGGAUCGUAAAACGCUGUUAUUAGGGAAGAACAAAUGUGUAAGUAACUAUGCACGUCUUGACGGUACCUAAUCAGAAAGCCACGGCUAACUACGUG